AGGAUGAACGCUGGCGGCGUGCCUAAUACAUGCAAGUCGAGCGGCAGCGCGGUCUUCGGACUGGCGGCGAGCGGCGGACGGCUGAGUAACACGUAGGAACGUACCCCAAAGUGAGGCAUAAGCACCAGAAAUGGUGUCUAAUACCACAUGUGCUCUAAGGAGUAAAGCUUCGGUGCUUUGGGAACGGCCUGCGCAUGAUUAGCUUGUUGGUGAGGUAAUGGCUCACCAAGGCGACGAUCAUUAGCUGGUCUGAGAGGAUGAUCAGCCAGACUGGGACUGAGAACGGCCCAGACUCCUACGGGAGGCAGCAGUAGGGAAUUUUCCACAAUGGGCGAAAGCCUGAUGGAGCAACGCCGCGUGCAGGAUGAAGGCCUUCGGGUCGUAAACUGCUUUUAUAUGUGAAGAAUAUGACGGUAGCAUAUGAAUAAGGAUCGGCUAACUCCGUGCCAGCAGCCGCGGU
RNAcentral lists this ribosomal RNA (460 nucleotides) under uncultured bacterium. RNAcentral describes it as "SSU rRNA". It matches the Rfam family "Bacterial small subunit ribosomal RNA", at positions 26 to 521 of the family's 1533-position model. The record is from RNAcentral.